UGCGUUUUGACUCCUAUUUAACUA
Molecule: non-coding RNA, 24 nt
Filed under: Drosophila melanogaster (fruit fly)
Lineage: Eukaryota; Metazoa; Arthropoda; Insecta; Diptera; Drosophilidae
Source: RNAcentral